RNAcentral lists this ribosomal RNA (254 nucleotides) under uncultured bacterium. Its description in RNAcentral is "partial small subunit ribosomal RNA". It matches the Rfam family "Bacterial small subunit ribosomal RNA", at positions 26 to 285 of the family's 1533-position model. The record is from RNAcentral.
AGGACGAACGCUGGCGGCGUGCUUAACACAUGCAAGUCGAGCGGAAAGGCCCUUCGGGGUACUCGAGCGGCGAACGGGUGAGUAACACGUGAGUAAUCUGCCCCUAGCUCUGGGGAUAGCUCCGGGAAACCGGGAUUAAUACCAGAUACGACCACUUUAGACAUCUGUUGUGGUGGAAAGAAUUUUGGCUAGGGAUGAGCUCGCGGCCUAUCAGCUUGUUGGUGAGGUACGGCUCACCAAGGCGACGACGGGUA